Molecule: ribosomal RNA, 253 nt
Filed under: uncultured bacterium
Lineage: Bacteria
Description: partial 16S ribosomal RNA
Rfam family: Bacterial small subunit ribosomal RNA
Source: RNAcentral
UACGUAGGGUGCAAGCGUUAAUCGGAAUUACUGGGCGUAAAGCGUGCGCAGGCGGUUUUGUAAGUCUGUCGUGAAAGCCCCGGGCUCAACCUGGGAAUUGCGAUGGAGACUGCAAGGCUUGAAUCUGGCAGAGGGGGGUAGAAUUCCACGUGUAGCAGUGAAAUGCGUAGAGAUGUGGAGGAACACAGAUGGCGAAGGCAGCCCCCUGGGUCAAGAUUGACGCUCAUGCACGAAAGCGUGGGGAGCAAACAGG